GAAACUGCUUUUAUCAGGAGAACACCUUACGGAGACUUGACGGUACUGUAAGAAUAAGGAUCGGUAACUCCGUGCCUGCAGCCGGGUAUACGGAGGAUCCAAGCGUUAUCCGGAAUCAUUGGGUUUAAAGGGUCCGUAGGCGGGCUUAUAAGUCAGUGGUGAAAUCUCCCAGCUCAACUGGGAAACUGCCAUUGAUACUGUAGGUCUUGAAUUAUUAGGAAGUAACUAGAAUAUGUAGUGUAGCGGGAAAUGCUUAGAUAUUACAUGGAAUACCAAUUGCGAAGGCAGGUUACUACUAAUGGAUUGACGCUGAUGGACGAAAGCGUGGGUAGCGAACAGGAUUAGAUACCCUGGUAGUCCACGCCGUAAACGAUGGAUACUAGCUGUUCGGAGCAAUCUGAGUGGCUAAGCGAAAGUGAUAAGUAUCCCACCUGGGGAGUACGUUCGCAAGAAUGAAACUCAAAGGAAUUGACGGGGGCCCGCACAAGCGGUGGAGCAUGUGGUUUAAUUCGAUGAUACGCGAGGAACCUUACCCAGGCUUAAAUGUAGUUUGACCGGUUUGGAAACAGAUUUUUCGCAAGACAAAUUACAAGGUGCUGCAUGGUUGUCGUCAGCUCGUGCCGUGAGGUGUCAAGGUUAAGUCCUAUAACGAGCGCAACCCCUGUUG
RNAcentral lists this ribosomal RNA (667 nucleotides) under uncultured bacterium. RNAcentral describes it as "bacterial SSU rRNA". It matches the Rfam family "Bacterial small subunit ribosomal RNA", at positions 426 to 1110 of the family's 1533-position model. The record is from RNAcentral.